UACGGGGGGAGCAAGCGUUGUUCGGAUUUACUGGGCGUAAAGGGCGCGUAGGCGGUCAGCACAAGUCAGUUGUGAAAUCUCCAGGCUUAACUCGGAAAGGUCAACUGAUACUGUGCGACUAGAGUGCGGAAGGGGCAACUGGAAUUCUCGGUGUAGCGGUGAAAUGCGUAGAUAUCGAGAGGAACACCUGCGGCGAAGGCGGGUUGCUGGGCCGACACUGACGCUGAUGCGCGAAAGCCAGGGGAGCGAACGGG
This 254-nucleotide ribosomal RNA is filed under the name uncultured bacterium. RNAcentral's name for it is "partial 16S ribosomal RNA". It matches the Rfam family "Bacterial small subunit ribosomal RNA", at positions 524 to 776 of the family's 1533-position model. The record is from RNAcentral.